UGGGGAAUAUUGGACAAUGGGGGCAACCCUGAUCCAGCAAUGCCGUGUGUGUGAAGAAGGUCUUCGGAUUGUAAAGCACUUUCGACGGGGACGAUGAUGACGGUACCCGUAGAAGAAGCCCCGGCUAACUUCGUGCCAGCAGCCGCGGUAAUACGAAGGGGGCUAGCGUUGCUCGGAAUGACUGGGCGUAAAGGGCGUGUAGGCGGUUUACACAGUCAGAUGUGAAAUCCCCGGGCUUAACCUGGGAGCUGCAUUUGAUACGUGUAGACUAGAGUGUGAGAGAGGGUUGUGGAAUUCCCAGUGUAGAGGUGAAAUUCGUAGAUAUUGGGAAGAACACCGGUGGCGAAGGCGGCAACCUGGCUCAUGACUGACGCUGAGGCGCGAAAGCGUGGGGAGCAAACAGGAUUAGAUACCCUGGUAGUCCACGCUGUAAACGAUGUGUG
This 443-nucleotide ribosomal RNA is filed under the name uncultured bacterium. Its description in RNAcentral is "partial 16S ribosomal RNA". It matches the Rfam family "Bacterial small subunit ribosomal RNA", at positions 355 to 815 of the family's 1533-position model. The record is from RNAcentral.